This 752-nucleotide ribosomal RNA is filed under the name uncultured Glomus. Its description in RNAcentral is "SSU rRNA". It matches the Rfam family "Eukaryotic small subunit ribosomal RNA", at positions 338 to 1092 of the family's 1831-position model. The record is from RNAcentral. Lineage: Eukaryota; Fungi; Glomeromycota; Glomeromycetes; Glomerales; Glomeraceae.
GGCCUACCAUGGUGGUAACGGGUAACGGGGUGUUAGGGCACGACACCGGAGAGGGAGCCUGAGAAACGGCUACCACAUCCAAGGAUGGCAGCAGGCGCGCAAAUUACCCAAUCCCGACACGGGGAGGUAGUGACAAUAAAUAACAAUACGGGGUUCUUUCGGAUUUCGUAAUUGGAAUGAGUACAAUUUAAAUCUCUUAACGAGGAACAAUUGGAGGGCAAGUCUGGUGCCAGCAGCCGCGGUAAUUCCAGCUCCAAUAGCGUAUAUUAAAGUUGCUGCAGUUAAGAAGCUCGUAGUUGAAUUUCGGGACCAUCAUGUCGGUCGUGCCUCGGUACGUACUGGCAUUGUUGGUUUCUCCCUUCUGACGAACCAUGAUGUCAUUUAUUUGGUGUUGUGGGGAAUCAGGACUGUUACUUUGAAAAAAUUAGAGUGUUUAAAGCAGGCUCACGCUUGAAUACAUUAGCAUGGAAUAAUGAAAUAGGACGUUUGAUUCUAUUUUGUUGGUUUCUAGGAUCGACGUAAUGAUUAAUAGGGAUAGUUGGGGGCAUUAGUAUUCAAUUGUCAGAGGUGAAAUUCUUGGAUUUAUUGAAGACUAACUACUGCGAAAGCAUUUGCCAAGGAUGUUUUCAUUAAUCAAGAACGAAAGUUAGGGGAUCGAAGACGAUCAGGUACCGUCGUAGUCUUAACCAUAAACUAUGCCGACUAGGGAUCGGAUGAUGUUAAUUUUUUAAUGACUCAUUCGGCGCCUUACG